UGGGACGUCGCCAAGCUGGUAAGGCACGGGGUUUUGAUCCCCGCAUUCGCAGGUUCGAGUCCUGCCGUCCCAGCCA
RNAcentral lists this transfer RNA (76 nucleotides) under Gammaproteobacteria bacterium. RNAcentral's name for it is "tRNA-Gln". It matches the Rfam family "tRNA". From Rfam's summary of the family: Transfer RNA (tRNA) molecules are approximately 80 nucleotides in length. Their secondary structure includes four short double-helical elements and three loops (D, anti-codon, and T loops). Lineage: Bacteria; Pseudomonadati; Pseudomonadota; Gammaproteobacteria. The record is from RNAcentral. RNAcentral also lists the same sequence under 1 other name.